Propithecus coquereli (Coquerel's sifaka) is the source of this 653-nucleotide long non-coding RNA. RefSeq lists it as uncharacterized. The transcript has 3 exons. NCBI's taxonomy places the organism in Eukaryota, Metazoa, Chordata, Mammalia, Primates, Indriidae. The record is from RefSeq and is a predicted model, not a curated record.
GGCCCAGGUGGGGCAGGGAAGUGACAGUGGUGUGGGUUUCUAUCCCAAGCUCUCAGACCCCAUGUGCAGGUGUGCAGGCGGCAUCAGGGCCAAUCAAACGCCAGGACGCAGAGGCCGGGACGAGAUGAUGACAGAGCUGAGGUCUGUGUGGGAGGAAGUCCCCGGGCUCCGUGCAUCAGGCAUCGGUCCCCUUCCCGUGGCUGGCGCCUCAGCUUGGCCUUUCUCCUGUGUCAGGUGACCUGAGGGCUGUGCUGAGCCCCCCAGAGCCUCCCAUCAGAGACCGGAGUGGCCUCUGGCCUCCUCGGGAAGGAGGACCGUGCCUGACAGCAGGAUCCAUAGGCCUGAGUCAGUGAGUUUCUCCAGCAGAGGAAUGGUGACAAAAGACACCCACGCUGGAUCUCACAUAGAAAAUCCCUCCGUGCGUGUUUCAAAGAAGGAUGACAAAAGAUACUUGUAUGCACAUUAAAAAUGAGUAGAAGGAGAGAAAAGCAGACAGAGGUCCCUCAGCGUGCGAUGGCGAUGACGGGGAGGCCCAGGAGCGGGAAGAAGAGCUGCGGUCUGAAAGGUUCUCAUGGCCUGGACACUGAUGCGUGGGCUGCAGGGCCAACCCCCGACGGUCUGUCCUAGGGGGACAGUCAGCCUCCUGCAAGAUA